AAGGAAUAGCCACUGGAAACGGUGAGUAAUACCUUAUACGCCCUUCGGGGGAAAGAUUUAUCGGAGAAGGAUCGGCCCGCGUAAGAUUAGAUAGUUGGUGGGGUAAUGGCCUACCAAGUCUACGAUCUUUAGCUGGUUUUAGAGGAUGAUCAGCAACACUGGGACUGAGACACGGCCCAGACUCCUACGGGAGGCAGCAGUGGGGAAUCUUAGACAAUGGGCGCAAGCCUGAUCUAGCCAUGCCGCGUGAGUGACGAAGGCCUUAGGGUCGUAAAGCUCUUUCGCCUGUGAUGAUAAUGACAGUAGCAGGUAAAGAAACCCCGGCUAACUCCGUGCCAGCAGCCGCGGUAAUACGG
Molecule: ribosomal RNA, 356 nt
Filed under: uncultured Roseovarius sp.
Lineage: Bacteria; Pseudomonadati; Pseudomonadota; Alphaproteobacteria; Rhodobacterales; Roseobacteraceae
Description: bacterial SSU rRNA
Rfam family: Bacterial small subunit ribosomal RNA
Source: RNAcentral